AUACGGAGGGUGCGAGCGUUAAUCGGAAUUACUGGGCGUAAAGCGUGCGUAGGCGGUUUGCUAAGUCAGAUGUGAAAGCCCCGGGCUUAACCUGGGAACUGCAUUUGAUACUGGCAGACUAGAGUAUGAUAGAGGGGGGUAGAAUUCCUGGUGUAGCGGUGAAAUGCGUAGAUAUCAGGAGGAAUACCAGUGGCGAAGGCGGCCCCCUGGAUCAAUACUGACGCUCAGGUACGAAAGCGUGGGGAGCGAACAGGAUUAGAAACCCUAGUAGUCC
This 274-nucleotide ribosomal RNA is filed under the name uncultured bacterium. RNAcentral describes it as "partial 16S ribosomal RNA". It matches the Rfam family "Bacterial small subunit ribosomal RNA", at positions 523 to 796 of the family's 1533-position model. The record is from RNAcentral.